AGAGAUGUGUGAUGACGCAUAUCAAUAAGCGGAGGAAAAGAAACUAACAAGGAUUCCCUUAGUAACGGCGAGUGAAGCGGGAAGAGCUCAAAUUUGAAAUCUUCAAGGUUCUACCUUGACGAAUUGUAGUUUAUAGAAGUGUUUUCUGUUAGUAGAGUGGCAAAAGUUCUUUGGAAUAGGACAUCAUAGAGGGUGAGAAUCCCGUAUUUGGUCAUUCUUUCUAGCUUUGUGAUACACUUUCAACGAGUCGGAUUGUUUGGGAAUGCAGUCCAAAAUGGGUGGUAAAUUUCAUCUAAAGCUAAAUAUUGGCGAGAGACCGAUAGCGAACAAGUACCGUGAGGGAAAGAUGAAAAGAACUUUGAAAAGAGAGUUAAACAGUACGUGAAAUUGUCAAAAGGGAAGCGUUUGACACCAGUGUUGUUUUUCCGAAAAUCAAUUACGAAUGUUUUGUUUUUAAGAGUUAUGACUUCAUCGGCUUGCUUCUCUCUUUACGAAACUUUCUUAAUGCACUUUUCCGGUUAACAAGUCAACAUCAAUUUCUUUUGUUGUAAAAGAGUAUGAGGAAGGUGGCUUUCUUUUCGGGAGAAAGUGUUUAUAGCCCUUGUGCCUCUGCAAUCGGAGAGAUUGAGGUCUGCAGCGUAGAUCCUUCGGGGUUAGAUACAUUUGUGCUAAGUUAUAGCUUUUCAUAGACAACUUGUUGACUAUGAUUAGUCUUGUAGCUUACUCGCUUAUGCUAUUUUACCUACGCUUAGGAUGUUGAAGAUGUAGCACAUCAU
This 776-nucleotide ribosomal RNA is filed under the name uncultured Neocallimastigales. RNAcentral describes it as "partial large subunit ribosomal RNA". It matches the Rfam family "Eukaryotic large subunit ribosomal RNA", at positions 23 to 643 of the family's 3401-position model. The record is from RNAcentral. Lineage: Eukaryota; Fungi; Neocallimastigomycota; Neocallimastigomycetes; Neocallimastigales.